Long non-coding RNA from Homo sapiens (human), 769 nucleotides. RefSeq lists it as uncharacterized. NCBI's taxonomy places the organism in Eukaryota, Metazoa, Chordata, Mammalia, Primates, Hominidae. The record is from RefSeq and is a predicted model, not a curated record. The transcript is spliced from 3 exons.
UCUCGAAUUCUAAAGCUGUACCAUAAUUUCUAGUUUCACUUCUCCUCUCUUCCCCGCCUCCCCCAGUCUCCUAUCCAAUUUGCAGGACCACGUGUGCGGUUCUGCAUCCCACAGUCUCUUCUCGAGUUUCUUAUACAGUUUUUGUUUUUUUCCUCUCAAGUAGUCAGGGAAAAAAAAAUGCCGAGGGGGAAAAAGGCCUGAAAUCGAAUUGCAGAUCCACCAGGCAGAGCUAUAGGUCGCGCCUGCACACAGUACCAGCUCCCAGAGUCUCCCAGGACUUCUAGGAGACUGCCUCAAAAUACACCAGCGUCCUAGGCUUGAGAAACGAGAUAAGCCUUGCUAGAUUUCCGUAGAGUGAAGGUGAAAUCGACGAGAGAAAACCCUUCUACCUGAGAAAUCUGGUCAAGAAUCCUAGUGUUGCAUUCCUCACUUGGUCUCCUAAGCUGACAGUGAAUGAAGAUAAAAGUGGUGACCCUACACCCAGGCAGGACUGUAAAUCCACGCUGUUUGCCUGUGACUGAUUUGGGAUUUGGAUUUCUGAUCUGGCUGAGUGAUGUGUAAAAACCUCAAGUAGUCAACAGCUCCCUAUUGGCUAUGCAUCUGAGGGGCUCAAGAGCAUUGUUUAUUCCAGCAAGUGUCUGGAAUACAUUAUACUGGAUGAAUUGGCUCCUGCUACUCCCGUUUUGGAGAAUAUGAAGAAUUUUAUACUGUGCUAAAAUAAAUGUACUUUGUGCAAAUAACUUUCCUAAAUAAAAAAUUUUGAAUAUGA